RNAcentral lists this unclassified non-coding RNA (600 nucleotides) under Hevea brasiliensis (rubber tree). The record is from RNAcentral. Lineage: Eukaryota; Viridiplantae; Streptophyta; Magnoliopsida; Malpighiales; Euphorbiaceae.
UCAGAAAUUUCCAAAUGCUGAUCCUUUGUCCCUUAAACUUCUUGAAAGAUUACUUGCUUUUGACCCCAAGGACCGACCCACUGCUGAGGAGGCACUAGCUGAUCCUUAUUUUAAGGGUCUGGCUAAAUCUGAAAGGGAACCAUCAUGCAAGUCAAUUUCAAAAAUGGAGUUCGAAUUUGAGAGGCGAAGAGUGACGAAGGAGGAUCUCAGGGAAUUAAUAUUCCGGGAGAUACUAGAAUAUCAUCCUCAGCUGAGGAAGGAUUACUUGAAUGGUGUAGAAAGGACUAAUUUUCUGUAUCCGAGUGCUGUUGAUCAAUUCAGGAAACAGUUCGCUCACUUGGAAGAGAACGGUGGUAAUGGCGUUCCAGUGGUUCCGAUGGACAGGAAGCAUGUCUCUCUUCCAAGGUCUACAGUUGUACAUUCAAAUCCAAACCCUUUGAAAGAACAGCCUAUUGUUGCCAAUAUGAGAGACCGACAAAAUGGUGAAGAGUCUUGCAGUAGAAACUGCAGAGAUUCUGAAGGCCUUGCAAGUAGUCUAACAAGAACCCUACAGGCUCAGCCAAGAAAUGCUUUAGCAGCCAAACCAGGAAAAGUUGUUGG